Pelobates cultripes (western spadefoot toad) is the source of this 206-nucleotide non-coding RNA. The record is from the annotation of a GenBank genome assembly. NCBI's taxonomy places the organism in Eukaryota, Metazoa, Chordata, Amphibia, Anura, Pelobatidae.
GGCAGAUGCAUUGUCCCGUCAACAUGAACCCUCUACGGUGUCUGAAGCAGCUUUGUCUUCUAUCGUUCCUAAGUGUAAUAUUAUUGCCAACACUUGUGUCAGGAUACACUCGCCAUUGCUUGCUGAGAUCAAGAAAGAACAACAUCUAGCUCCCAAACCUGUUCCUGGGGAUCGAUACUUCGUUCCUCCUGAGCUCCAAGUGGAAC